Molecule: small RNA, 100 nt
Filed under: Arabidopsis thaliana (thale cress)
Lineage: Eukaryota; Viridiplantae; Streptophyta; Magnoliopsida; Brassicales; Brassicaceae
Description: ATSL087710
Source: RNAcentral
AUAUUUUAAAAUUUUAUAAAUAUUGAUUCAAAUACAUUCACCAUAUAACCCAAUUCCAAAAUAAAACCUGUUCUCUAAUUUCUUUGCCCAUCCCAUAAUU